UCCCCGUUGCCGGGGCAGUCUGAUUAGAAAAAUACAACUAAUCACAAGGGUUGCGCUCGUUAGUGGACUUAACCAAACAUCUCACGACACGAGCUGACGACGGCCAUGCAACAUCUGUCACCGAGUUCAAUAAAGCACUCUCGCCUUUCGGCAAAAUUCUCGGGAUGUCAAACCCUGGUAAGGUUCUUCGUUUAGCAUCGAAUUAAAGAACAUGAUCCACCGCUUGUGCGGGCCCCCGUCAAUUCCUUUGAGUUUCAACCUUGCGAUCGUACUCCCCAGGUGGAAUACUUAAUGCGUUAGCUUUGGCACUGAACCUUACGGCCCAGCACCUAGUAUUCAUCGUUUAAGGCGUGGACUAC
RNAcentral lists this unclassified non-coding RNA (359 nucleotides) under uncultured bacterium. RNAcentral's name for it is "contains 16S-23S intergenic spacer region". The record is from RNAcentral.